GAUGAACGCUGGCGGCGUGCCUAAUACAUGCAAGUCGAGCGAACAGACGAGGCUCUUGCUCCUCUGACGUUAGCGGCGGACGGGUGAGUAACACGUGGAUAACCUACCUAUAAGACUGGGAUAACUUCGGGAAACCGGAGCUAAUACCGGAUAAUAUAUUGAACCGCAUGGUUCAAUAGUGAAAGACGGUUUUGCUGUCACUUAUAGAUGGUUCCGCGCCGCAUUAGCUAGUUGGUAAGGUAACGGCUUACCAAGGCAACGAUGCGUAGCCGACCGGAGAGGGUGAUCGGCCACACUGGAACUGGAACACGGUCCAGGCGCCUGCGGGAGGCAGCAGUAGGGAAUCUUCCGCAGUGGGCGAAAGCCUGGCGGAACAACGCCGCGUGAGUGAUAGAGGUCUUCGGAUCGUAAAGCUCUGUUAUUAGGGAAGAACAAAUGUGUAAGUAACUAUGCACGUCUUGACGGUACCUAAUCAGAAAGCCACGGCUAACUACGUG
This 497-nucleotide ribosomal RNA is filed under the name uncultured bacterium. Its description in RNAcentral is "partial 16S ribosomal RNA". It matches the Rfam family "Bacterial small subunit ribosomal RNA", at positions 28 to 507 of the family's 1533-position model. The record is from RNAcentral.